This is a small nucleolar RNA of Arabidopsis thaliana (thale cress), 88 nucleotides long. It matches the Rfam family "Small nucleolar RNA Z122". From Rfam's summary of the family: Z122 is a member of the C/D class of snoRNA which contain the C (UGAUGA) and D (CUGA) box motifs. The record is from Rfam. Lineage: Eukaryota; Viridiplantae; Streptophyta; Magnoliopsida; Brassicales; Brassicaceae.
UUUGGGAAGUGAUGAUAAGAUAUAUCAAUAUAUCAUAGGCACAUGCAAUGCUGAACGAUAUAUAUUUGCACGUCAGUCUGAUCCCUUU